Molecule: ribosomal RNA, 722 nt
Filed under: Ormosia fordiana
Lineage: Eukaryota; Viridiplantae; Streptophyta; Magnoliopsida; Fabales; Fabaceae
Description: eukaryotic LSU rRNA
Rfam family: 5.8S ribosomal RNA (bases 311-466)
Source: RNAcentral
AUUUAGAGGAAGGAGAAGUCGUAACAAGGUUUCCGUAGGUGAACCUGCGGAAGGAUCAUUGUCGAUGCCUCGCGAGCAGUGCGACCCGUGAAUUUGUUUCUACUACUACCCAGGGGCGGCUCGCGGCGCUCAGACGCCUCGGCCCCUCGCGUCGGGAGGCGCCCCCGCCUGGCGCGGCCUCCUCCCGGCCGAACAAUAAAAACCCCGGCGCCGAACGCGCCAAGGAACCCCGAAAUCGUUCGGUGCGCCCCCCGUCGACCCGGAGACGGUGCUCGUGGGGGUGGCGCUGCGACGCGCGAAGAUGCAAAAUGACUCUCGGCAACGGAUAUCUCGGCUCUUGCAUCGAUGAAGAACGUAGCGAAAUGCGAUACUUGGUGUGAAUUGCAGAAUCCCGUGAACCAUCGAGUCUUUGAACGCAAGUUGCGCCCGAAGCCAUUAGGCUGAGGGCACGCCUGCCUGGGUGUCGCACAUCGUUGCCCCAUCGCCGGAGCCUCGUGCUAGGCGCCGAGCGGGGGCGAGCGUUGGCUUCCCGUGAGCAUCGGCUCGCGGUUGGUUGAAAAUCGGGUCCGCGGCGGAGUGCGCCGCGACGGAGGGUGGUUGAGUAACAGCUCGAGACCGGCCGCGCGCGUCUCUCCGCCUGCUCCGGGACUCUGUGACCCACGAGCGUCGAUCGAUCGCCCAUGACGGGACCUCAGGUCAGGCGGGGCUACCCGCUGAGUUUA